Molecule: transfer RNA, 72 nt
Filed under: Chloropicon laureae
Lineage: Eukaryota; Viridiplantae; Chlorophyta; Chloropicophyceae; Chloropicales; Chloropicaceae
Description: tRNA-His
Rfam family: tRNA
About the family: Transfer RNA (tRNA) molecules are approximately 80 nucleotides in length. Their secondary structure includes four short double-helical elements and three loops (D, anti-codon, and T loops).
Source: RNAcentral
GCGAGUAUAGCUUAAUGGUUAAAGUAUCAGGUUGUGGCUCUGAUGAUACGAGUUCAAUUCUCGUUAUUCGCC